UUCNGAUGCUUCUGCUGUUCCAAAGGAUGG
RNAcentral lists this non-coding RNA (30 nucleotides) under Mus musculus (house mouse). Lineage: Eukaryota; Metazoa; Chordata; Mammalia; Rodentia; Muridae. The record is from RNAcentral.